This 159-nucleotide small nuclear RNA is filed under the name Salvator merianae (Argentine black and white tegu). RNAcentral's name for it is "U1 spliceosomal RNA (ENSSMRG00000009869.1)". It matches the Rfam family "U1 spliceosomal RNA". From Rfam's summary of the family: U1 is a small nuclear RNA (snRNA) component of the spliceosome (involved in pre-mRNA splicing). Its 5' end forms complementary base pairs with the 5' splice junction, thus defining the 5' donor site of an intron. There are significant differences in sequence and secondary structure between metazoan and yeast U1 snRNAs, the latter being much longer (568 nucleotides as compared to 164 nucleotides in human). Lineage: Eukaryota; Metazoa; Chordata; Lepidosauria; Squamata; Teiidae. The record is from Rfam by way of RNAcentral.
GUACUUACCUGGCAAGGGAGACACCUUGACCGUGAAGGAGGUUUUCCCAGGGUGAGGCUCAGCUACUGCACUCUGGCUGUGCUGACCCCUGAGAUUUCCCCAAAUGCGGGAAAAUCAACUGCAUAAUGUGAGAUAAUGGGGGACUGCGUGUGUGCAUAA